RNAcentral lists this ribosomal RNA (383 nucleotides) under Stylocheiron sp. USNM IZ 1449928. Its description in RNAcentral is "SSU rRNA". It matches the Rfam family "Eukaryotic small subunit ribosomal RNA", at positions 54 to 414 of the family's 1831-position model. The record is from RNAcentral. Lineage: Eukaryota; Metazoa; Arthropoda; Malacostraca; Euphausiacea; Euphausiidae.
CAUGUCUAAGUACAGGCCUAAGUAAGGCGAAACCGCGAAUGGCUCAUUAAAUCAGUUAUGGUUCAUUGGAUCUUACCCUUUCUUACUUGGAUAACUGUGGUAAUUCUAGAGCUAAUACAUGCCAACCAGUAGCUCCGACACACUCCCGUGUGGAAGAGCGCUUUUAUUAGAUCAAAACCAGUCCUCCCUCGGGAGGUCAAACCCCUUCGUGGUGACUCUGAAUAACUUUUAGCUGAGCGCACGGUCUCCGCGCCGGCGCCGCAUCUUUCAAGUGUCUGCCUUAUCAGCUUUCGAUUGUAGGUUAUGCGCCUACAAUGGCUAUAACGGGUAACGGGGAAUCAGGGUUCGAUUCCGGAGAGGGAGCCUGAGAAACGGCUACCACA